CUCUGACCAAAGCAAGGACUUCAUCUACCGUGAGGGCGCGGGGCAAAGAGCCUCCAUUCAACCGCUGCCAGUGACGACUGAGUCCCCCUUCCACGCAACGGCCGGCAGGACCAGUGAGACUGAGGGGGAGGAGCGCCGUGGCGAGAGACUGGCGUUUAUAAUCAAACCUGUGGUCCCGCGAUCCUACUUGAGGGAAAACAGGCUAUCUCUUUAGCCCCGCCCCGCGCUUUGCAUUCUGGGAAGCGGAGUUCCAGCCUUUCUCUUUCCGCGGGAGGGAAUGAAAGGGAGGGUGAGAACCGUUAGUUAUUUCUUUCUUUGGUCGUGCCCCUAAUCAGGUCCAGGAUUCGAGUUUGUGUUCUUUCGUUUUAAUUCCUUUUAAAGCGCGUUCGUUUGCCUGAGAUCUAGCUUCUAGAUGGCGUUCCUAUAGCCUCCCGGAGCCCCAGCCAUCCUCCGUAGAAGGGUCCCUGCCGCAGUGCGGGGCCUGAGGGAAGUCGGCUCUGGCGUCCGUGCUCCAACGCUGGGAGCAGCCCUGAAACUCCAGUGACCCUCAGCCGUCUGCCUUUGUUUUGGGAUAAAUGAAUUCAAGCAUUCUUCAGUCAAUUCGAUUUAUCCAAGGGAUCAGGGACACAUUUUCUCUAUUGCUAGCACUGACGUGGGCCAUUAAAAACAAAAACAAAAACGAAAUUAAAAAGAAAACCCUUAGCUCUCUCUUCAAGUAAGUCUUAAGUGGCCAAAAUUGACCUUAUGGGCAAGUCCUGUAACGUGACAGCCAUUUUAGGACGCUUGUGACAUGCUGUUCAGGUUCUAGUCUGAAGUAGGAUUUUUCUCGCAUCUUGGUCACUGGUAGCACUUAAUGACUCCUCUGAGAGUGGUUUUGUCAUUUUUGCUGUUAGAGUUCACGAUAACUAAGAUCCUGGAGAAUUGAAUCCAUUUUCUCAGCUUAGAUAUAAAUCAAACCAUCCCUGUUGACAACACGUCAGCCUGCUGUGGGAAUACAUUGCUGGUUAUUUCUGACUUAUCAAUGUGAAUUUUGAUUAUGGAAGCUGAAUUCUGGUUGAUAGGGAUCCAUUGUAAUGUUCUCUCUACUUUUGCGCAUUUUUAAGUAUUUCAUAAUGCGAAAUAUAAAAAGUGUGUGUCUAUAGUGAGUGCUGUUCAAUAAGAUUCUUAUAAGGAGUGAAGAAUUCAAGCACUUAGUUCUUAAGUAUUACUUGUAAUGGGCAGUGGGCUGGAGGUGUUCCAGGCAGACGGAACUCAAUUACCAAGAGCACAGAAGCAAGAGAUCAUCUAUUCCAUAGAUUAGAAAGUGGUGGAUCAUAAAGCAUGAGGUAGAAUUCUGAGAGACAGAACUAGAGACUUAAACCAGAUUAAGAUUAGCCGUCUGUGACAAGCACUGGUCAUUGGGAUUCUCCCUGCCACUCACUCCUUUCUCCUUGCUAACAAGAUCCUGAUUUGUUCAAGAAGCAGAGAAAGAGAUGGAAAACAGCACAAAAUUAGAUGAAAUAAUAGUUUCAGACUUUGGAGAAUAGGCAGAGAAACACUAUGAUCCCUGAGAAAAAAGAGAUAAACCACGUAAAGUCUAUAGUCAUCCUGUAUUUUUAUUGAGAGACACACAUGCAAGACCACAGUGUAGACGAAAGUCCCAAGGAGAGUAUAUGGCCUUGCCUUGUAUAGAAGACACAUACCAGAGUUCAGGCGUUUUGGAAGGAGGCUGAAGUUGCAGCAAAGGGCUCUGAAGAGGUGGUGGAUGUGCCCAAGACACAGGGAAGAAAAAGAAGUAAACAGGGAAGUACAACACAGACUCUGAAAUGGGGCAUCAUGGAAGACGGAGCUUUGUCGUCUUGGUCUUUGCUGUAUAUUCACUUCCUACAACAGUGCUAAAUACCUUGUGGAUGCUUAAAUAUAUUAAAUGAAUGCAUAAAUGAAAAGAGUAAAUAAAGAGUGUAUAUGAAAGUAUGUAGAUAAAAUUCUUCACUAAGCCUUGGGGAUCCAGCUGCUUAAGGACUAAGACCGUAUCUAGCUCCUUUUAGUAUUUCCACAGCAUGCCAUGGAGAUACAUGUUUCUGAUUAUAUAUGAUACAUGGAAAUUAUAUGUUGUUGAAUGAGUGAUUGAGUAAAUGUGUACUAGGGCAGCUAAUCAUAAAUAUUUCUACUAUUGCUAAAAUGACUGGAUUUAUCCAUUCCUUCUGAGAGUUUAUACUGAUUGCUUAUAUUGUAUCAAAUACCGUAACUGAGGGCAAUGUUUACUCAAACUAAUAGCACCAUUCAAAUUUAUGCAAACAAUAACACUAUAUCUUUAAAAUGUUUUCACUAAAAGCUGCAUAAAGAGUGUAUUCAACAACAAUAGAAUAAUUUUACAAUCUUUUUUCUUGCUUAAUGGCCAUUUGUGCCUUCUGACAUGCUGCUAGCCAUUCAAAGGUCACACUACCUUGAAGUUGAAGAUCAAGACA
RNAcentral lists this long non-coding RNA (2447 nucleotides) under Homo sapiens (human). RNAcentral describes it as "HSALNT0402884". The record is from RNAcentral. Lineage: Eukaryota; Metazoa; Chordata; Mammalia; Primates; Hominidae.